This 396-nucleotide non-coding RNA is filed under the name Phytophthora infestans T30-4. RNAcentral describes it as "Eukaryotic large subunit ribosomal RNA". It matches the Rfam family "Eukaryotic large subunit ribosomal RNA", at positions 3007 to 3399 of the family's 3401-position model. The record is from Rfam by way of RNAcentral. Lineage: Eukaryota; Oomycota; Peronosporomycetes; Peronosporales; Peronosporaceae.
NNNNNNNNNNNNNNNNUCCAACCCAGUACGAGAGGACCGUUGGUUCAGAUAAUUGGUAACUGCGGUUAGCUGAAAAGCUAGUGCCGCCAAGCUACCAUCUGUAGGAUUAUGGCUGAACGCCUCUAAGUCAGAAUCCAUGCUGGAAUAGACGAUAAUCACCUUUCCCGAUGUGCCGCGAAUAGCGAUAGGUGUCUUCUGGACACCCAACAUCAUACAAUUGCAACGCACUCCGCUGCCUGUCAAGUACUGGCGGUGGAGAGUAGGCUGAUUUGUAAUUUCAAAUAUUGGGAAAGAUAAAUCCUUUGUAGACGACUUAACUACAGAACGGGGUGUUGUAAGCAUGAGAGUAGUCUUGUACUACGAUCUGCUGAGAUUUAGCCCUUGUUCUAUUGAUUU